This 305-nucleotide ribosomal RNA is filed under the name uncultured bacterium. RNAcentral's name for it is "bacterial SSU rRNA". It matches the Rfam family "Bacterial small subunit ribosomal RNA", at positions 333 to 631 of the family's 1533-position model. The record is from RNAcentral.
GCAUGCCUACGGGGCGCAGCAGUAGGGAAUUUUCGUCAAUGGGCGCAAGCCUGAACGAGCGAUGCCGCGUGAACGAGGAAGGUCUUCGGAUCGUAAAGUUCUGUUGAAGGGGAAAAAGAGCGGAGAGAGGAAAUGAACUCCGAUUGAUAUUACCCUUCGAGGAAGUCACGGCUAACUACGUGCCAGCAGCCACGGUAAUACGUAGGUGGCGAGCGUUAUCCGGAAUGGUUGGGCGUAAAGGGUGCGUAGGCGGCCUGCUAAGUCUGGAGUGAAAGGUACCGGCUCAACCGGUACAGGCUCUGGAA